GCUCGACUCCUUGACUU
This 17-nucleotide unclassified non-coding RNA is filed under the name Mus musculus (house mouse). RNAcentral's name for it is "oocyte_clustered_small_RNA12655". The record is from RNAcentral. Lineage: Eukaryota; Metazoa; Chordata; Mammalia; Rodentia; Muridae.